AAAAAGUUUUAUUCUUGCUUGAAAUAUUUAUUGUGAAAUUAUUAUACAUGUAAAUUUUUGUAGGUUUAAUUAAUCUAGAGGGAUAAAUUAAGUUAAGAAUGCAGUAUAAGAUAUUAUAAAUUUAAGUAAUUUUGAUUUAGUAAAUUUUAUAAGUGUUGAUAAAAUAUGUGCCAGCAAUCGCGGUUAUACAUAAUAUACGAGUAAAUAUAAUUAGUUGAUAGUUGAAUGUUGAUUUGAGAAGGAUUUAAGUAAAAAGUUGUAAGGUGGAAUUUUAAUUUUUAGUUAAUUUUUAUUGAAAUAUAUUGAAACUAUGAAAUCUUAAUUUUAAACUAGGAUUAGAUACCCUAUUAUUUUUGAUGUAAAUUUUUAGGCUUGAGUAGUAAUAGUUAUGUUCUUGAAACUUAAAGAAUUUGGCGGUAUUUUAGUCUUUUUAGAGGAAUCUGUCCCUUAAUUCGAUAGUCCACGUUGGACCUUAUUUAAUUUUUUAAUUUGUAUACCGCCGUUAUUAAUUUUUUUUUAGGAAUAAUUUAUUAUUUAAUUGGAUGAAUUUCAGGUCAAGGUGCAGUUUAUAAUUAAGUGGAGAUGGAUUACAUUAUUUUAAGAUAUACGGAUUAUUAAAUUGUAUAUUAAUAUUAAGGUGGAUUUAAAGGUAAUUUUAUUAAGAAUAAUAUGGUGAUUAUAGCUCUAGAAUAUGUACAUAUCGCCCGUCAUUCUCAUUAUUUUAUAGGUGAGACAAGUCGUAACAUAGUAGGUGUACCGGAAGGUGUAUCUGGAAUGAU
This 779-nucleotide non-coding RNA is filed under the name Ectobiidae sp. Z140. The record is from RNAcentral. Lineage: Eukaryota; Metazoa; Arthropoda; Insecta; Blattodea; Ectobiidae.